GGCAAGGAAUAUAGAACUUUGGCAUUUUUUUGGCAGAAAUUAUAAAAAACAAAAAAAAACAAUUUAUCAGUUAUUUUUUUAUUAUGCAUAAAAGCUUUUCAUGUAAUGAUAAACUAUUUCUUCAAAGCUGGAAGCUGGGAUUAUCAGGAGAUGGCUGAAGUGUAUCCCGCCUGAGUUUGACAAUAUGAUUUACUACUGCUACACCAUAUGGGAUUCAGAUUGUCAUCAAGGUAUAGUGCUGCAUGUGUGAUAUGUCCAUUCAUAGAAGACAACUGUCUACACUUCAUCCUUUAUCCACACCUGCAGCAUGUCUGUUCACUGUUAUGUCCCCAGAACACUGAGGUUGACCUGUUCUACACAGCACUUGAUCUCUUCUAAUUAUUAUUGCACAUAUGUAAUAUGCAAGCUCAAGACUAAACAUCACAUACUGCUAGAGAAAGGAUGUCUGUACCAGCAUGAUAUAUUUUACCCCAUAUGUACUGGUUCUGAAAAUAUAUACAUACAAAAUUUAUUUUUGGAUCCCCUUUGUAAAUAAAAGAAAUAAGAUAUUUAUUGUCUACAUUAUCGUUUCAUCCUAUAUUUUCUUCUGAAAUUGGGAACAAUCAAUUCCUAUUGUCAC
This 619-nucleotide long non-coding RNA is filed under the name Androctonus crassicauda. The record is from RNAcentral. Lineage: Eukaryota; Metazoa; Arthropoda; Arachnida; Scorpiones; Buthidae.